GGCAAAUGUGAGAUGCAGUGUAUGGAAUGUCAAAUUUCUAGUAUGAGAAAUUAACGAUUUAAGUCCUUCUUAAAUGAGGCCAUUUACCCAUAGAGGGUGCCAGGCCCGUAUAACGUUAAUGAUUACUAGAUGGCAUUUCCAAAGAGUCGUGUUGCUUGAUAGUGCAGCACUAAGUGGGUGGUAAACUCCAUCUAAAACUAAAUAUAACCAUGAGACCGAUAGUAAACAAGUACCGUGAGGGAAAGUUGAAAAGAACUCUGAAUAGAGAGUUAAAUAGUACGUGAAACUGCUUAGAGGUUAAGCCCGAUGAACCUGAAUAUCCAUUAUAGAAAAUUCAUCAUUAUGAUUUUAAUAUAUUUUAAUAAUGGUGUGCAUUUUUUCUAUAAAGGACAUUGUAAUCUAUUAACAUAAAAAAUUUAUCAUAAGAUCAGCGUAAUUUUAUUUAAAUUAUUUUGCUUGCAAUUUAAAAAAAAAAAAAUGCUUUUUGAUUUGAUAAAGUGUUGAUAGAUUUAAUAUAUAGCGCGAAAAUAAUAUUUUAUAGUAGCAUACUGCUUAUUA
RNAcentral lists this ribosomal RNA (558 nucleotides) under cf. Hemisturmia sp. T765. RNAcentral's name for it is "partial 28S ribosomal RNA". It matches the Rfam family "Eukaryotic large subunit ribosomal RNA", at positions 131 to 634 of the family's 3401-position model. Lineage: Eukaryota; Metazoa; Arthropoda; Insecta; Diptera; Tachinidae. The record is from RNAcentral.